UCCUGCGGACUUCCGGCAAACUCCUGGACUUUGCGACGAUCCACUUGGCAAGUUCCGACGAGCUUCGCUUGGCAAGCUUCUGGACUUCUCGGAUCUGUUCUCGCAGAACCUCCGACGACCGUCCGAACUUCCGUCGAACUCUCGAACUCCCAAUGUGAUCAUGAACUUGACUCUGGCGCAACUCCUGCUGCUUGUCUAACUUUCAUCGUAGUUAAUCCUGCACACUUAUCUCAACACAUAGAUUAGACAACAAAUGACAAUUG
This 263-nucleotide long non-coding RNA is filed under the name Musa acuminata (dwarf banana). RNAcentral describes it as "long non-coding RNA (MACU_LNC008274)". Lineage: Eukaryota; Viridiplantae; Streptophyta; Magnoliopsida; Zingiberales; Musaceae. The record is from RNAcentral.